Molecule: ribosomal RNA, 253 nt
Filed under: uncultured bacterium
Lineage: Bacteria
Description: partial 16S ribosomal RNA
Rfam family: Bacterial small subunit ribosomal RNA
Source: RNAcentral
UACGUAGGGGGCAAGCGUUGUCCGGAAUUAUUGGGCGUAAAGAGCGUGUAGGCGGCCAGAUAGGUCCGUUGUGAAAACUCGAGGCUCAACCUCGAGACGCCGAUGGAAACCAUUUGGCUAGAGUCCGGAAGAGGAGAGUGGAAUUCCUGGUGUAGCGGUGAAAUGCGCAGAUAUCAGGAAGAACACCCGUGGCUAAGGCGGCUCUCUAGUACGGUACUGACGCUGAGACGCGAAAGCGUGGGGAGCGAACAGG